CCUACGGGUGGCUGCAGUGGGGAAUAUUGCACAAUGGGCGCAAGCCUGAUGCAGCCAUGCCGCGUGUGUGAAGAAGGCCUUCGGGUUGUAAAGCACUUUCAGCGGGGAGGAAGGCGUUAAGGUUAAUAACCUUGGCGAUUGACGUUACCCGCAGAAGAAGCACCGGCUAACUCCGUGCCAGCAGCCGCGGUAAUACGGAGGGUGCAAGCGUUAAUCGGAAUUACUGGGCGUAAAGCGCACGCAGGCGGUCUGUCAAGUCGGAUGUGAAAUCCCCGGGCUCAACCUGGGAACUGCAUUCGAAACUGGCAGGCUAGAGUCUUGUAGAGGGGGGUAGAAUUCCAGGUGUAGCGGUGAAAUGCGUAGAGAGCUGGAGGAAUACCGGUGGCGAAGGCGGCCCCCUGGACAAAGGCUGACGCUCAGGUGCGAAAGCGUGGGGAGCAAACAGGAUUAGAUACCCGGGUAGUC
This 465-nucleotide ribosomal RNA is filed under the name uncultured Klebsiella sp. RNAcentral describes it as "bacterial SSU rRNA". It matches the Rfam family "Bacterial small subunit ribosomal RNA", at positions 338 to 795 of the family's 1533-position model. The record is from RNAcentral. Lineage: Bacteria; Pseudomonadati; Pseudomonadota; Gammaproteobacteria; Enterobacterales; Enterobacteriaceae.